AGAUUGAACGCUGGCGGCAGGCCUAACACAUGCAAGUCGAGCGGUAGAGAGGUGCUUGCACCUCUUGAGAGCGGCGGACGGGUGAGUAAUGCCUAGGAAUCUGCCUAGUGGUGGGGGAUAACGUUCGGAAACGGACGCUAAUACCGCAUACGUCCUACGGGAGAAAGCGGGGGACCUUCGGGCCUCGCGCCAUUAGAUGAGCCUAGGUCGGAUUAGCUAGUUGGUGAGGUAAUGGCUCACCAAGGCGACGAUCCGUAACUGGUCUGAGAGGAUGAUCAGUCACACUGGAACUGAGACACGGUCCAGACUCCGUACGGGAGGUAGCGAGGUAGGGGAAUAGUUGGACAAGUGGGACGAAAGCCGUAGAUCCGAGCCGAUGCCGCGUGUGUAGAAGGAAGGUCGUUCGGUAGUUAGUAAAGACUAACGUUUAAGGUUAGGGAGGUAAGGGUUAGUUAAACUUAAGUUACGUUAG
RNAcentral lists this ribosomal RNA (472 nucleotides) under uncultured soil bacterium. Its description in RNAcentral is "bacterial SSU rRNA". It matches the Rfam family "Bacterial small subunit ribosomal RNA", at positions 26 to 478 of the family's 1533-position model. The record is from RNAcentral.